Molecule: long non-coding RNA, 2391 nt
Organism: Mustela erminea (ermine)
Lineage: Eukaryota; Metazoa; Chordata; Mammalia; Carnivora; Mustelidae
Exons: 3
Source: RefSeq, a predicted model, not a curated record
GGGGCAGAAGACAGGGGUGGCGACAGGUCCAUGCGUAGCUUGGACAAGAGAUGGGGCCGCGGGCCUGCGUUCACUGGGGCUACGGACUCCCACUUCGGGGGGAGCCUGAAGGGCCACGCCUCCAUGAGACAGACAGAAGCUCUACCUGCUGCCCCCAGAAAUGAGAAAGGACGUUUUCUGUCUUCCCAGAGAUCAAAAGGAAAAGGCUCACAGAAGAAACAGAAACGCUGGGCGCAUGACGUGGGACUGUGUGAGGAAGGAGAAAAAAAAAUGCGUGCUUUCCUGUGAGGACACGUCCCGAAACUAGAAGAUGAGCUGACACUGAGAGCAGUUCCCGCAAGAAACAACAGGACUUGUGUCCCCGAGAAUGAGAGAUGCCGCGUGACCGAGCCUCAGGAGGGCCGGCCAGCCAGCCUCGGGGUCGCACUAGGCACGACGGCCCUGGGGAUGGAGACAGGUGGGACUUCUGUGCUGUGAGAGUGGACAGCACGGCCCUCGCCCUGCAGCCGCACACCGGGGGCUGUCCCUGACACUCCCAGGCAAGGACGCCAGCAAGCAGUACCCUACAGGCUUGGCCCAAGAGAGGGAAGCCCCUUCUAUUUUGCACAACCGAGCCCUGCUCCCUGCAUCUGUCUGGGCACAUUGGCAUUUAUGGCGGCAGGCCCAUGACGGCCUCGAGCCUCCCAACUCCCUUCUUGUCCCCUCCCCUGCUCUGUCCCCACCUGGGGUGGGUGACCCAGACCUCCUUGUUCACCACCUUUUGAAAGAGAGCCACCCCUUUGCCUGCCUUAUACUGAGACCCACGCUGGUCACUGGGUCUGCUCUGGGGAGGCCCACCAGGCCUUAGCAGCUUUCCUAGGAAGACUGGCAGAACAUCCCAGAGCCCGGAGACGCGGGGUGUGGGCUACAAGGGUGGUGUGUGGGAUCUGGGUGGAAACAACAGUCUGGCCAUGAGGCUUCUUGUUCUGCACGGCGGAGUAGGGCCCGAGAGGUUGGAGGGGACUCCUUGAUCUGGGGGGCACAACCCAGGCCCCCUGUGCCCAACAGUGUGGUUACAGAUGAUGGUUCAUUUUAACAAACCAACCCUCACAAGGUGGACACCUGCUGUGAAAGUUGUGCACCUGAGCACACCCAAGUGCACAGAUGCGUCGUCAUGAAUGCAUACACAACACCAAGGCACACGUGUCCACGUAUUCCGUGCACACCAGCACACACGCAGCACCGACGCAUGCAUAAACACGUGCGUGCACCCCUGCACACGUGUACACCCGUGCAUACCCGCGCACGCACGUAUACCUCCAUAGGUGCACGAACACACACACACACGACCUCACAACCAGAAGGUAGCUCAGUGACAGGAACCCAAGGCGGGGACGGGAAGGUGUUGGCGCUGAGCCCGGCCUGCUCCCGCAAGCUGCUCCGGGGCCGCGUCAGGAGGGAAGGUAGCUAACGAUCACGCUCUUCUGCUCGGGCCUGGUGGUGGAGAGCUGGCCGGCGUUCUUAAUAAGAAGCAAAAGGCUUAUGUAACCCGUGCCGUCCGGGAGGAAGUGAUGCUUUCAGGGAUCAGUGAGAAAACACCUGUCCUUUGAAAGAAGCGGUGAUGUGCCCUGAAAACCCCUACUUGAUUUACUGUCCUGUGACUUUGUCACCAGAGCCUGUCCAGUCUGUCGCCUAGGGCAGCUCUCCUACCUGCCCGUGUCCAACACGCGGAAACCCCUUCUCCCUACUCUGUUAGAAAGAGGACUUCCCGGUAAAAAGUCUCGGUGAGCGUUGAGCCCAUCUGUUGAAGACGCGCAAAGGCGGCUCUUCCCACCGGUCUGCGGGAGCAGGACGGGUUCGGGGAGGACAGGGUCUGCGCAAGCUUGUGUGUGGCUGGGGCCGUCGCGGACGAGGUCAUGACUGGGGAGCGUGGCGGAGGGUGCCCUCCUUGCCUGCCGUUCACAGAGCCUUUCGGGGUGGUCUCUUCUGUGGCGGCCACGCCUGGACCGGAGCCGUGGGUCGCGGGGCUCUGGGCUCCAGACCGAGGGGCUGGAAGCGACAGAGCGUGGUCACUCCCACGGCCGCCCUCGAAACCAUUACAGCGGCUGGUUCUGAAUUACUCGUCCCGUUCUGUUGAGGGCUAGAUGAUCUUUAAGGACAAGUGAACGUGCUGAAGUCUUGUUUAUUUCAUUUUAUCCCCUUUCUCGUUUCCACGUAUGUUUGUGGUAUAUUUAAUAUUUUAGUGCAGUGGAUCAUGCGUACGUAUUUUUAAUUAAAUAGAUGACAUAUAUUUGGGGGAAUUUGCUCAGAUCCUUUUUACUGGUGUGUGGGUCAUCAAAAAUGUUUUGAGACUGCUCAUCAAAUUACGUUUUUGUUUUAAUUUUAAAGGGUUAAAAGCAUACAUAAAAUACU